GAUGAAGAACGUAGCGAAAUGCGAUACGUAAUGCGAAUUGCAGAUUCAGCGAGUCAUCGAAUCUUUGAACGCACAUUGCGCCCCCUGGUAUUCCGGGGGGCAUGCCUGUCCGAGCGUCAUUGCUGCCCUCAAGCACGGCUUGUGUGUUGGGCCUCCGUCCUCCUCCCGGGGGACGGGCCCGAAAGGCAGCGGCGGCACCGCGUCCGGUCCUCGAGCGUAUGGGGCUUCGUCACCCGCUCUUGUAGGCCCGGCCGGCGCUUGCCGACACAUCAAUCUUUUUUCCAGGUUGACCUCGGAUCAGGUAGGGAUACCCGCUGAACUUAAGCAUAUCAAUAAGCGGAGGA
RNAcentral lists this unclassified non-coding RNA (344 nucleotides) under soil metagenome. RNAcentral's name for it is "partial contains 5.8S ribosomal RNA, internal transcribed spacer 2, and large subunit ribosomal RNA". The stretch from base 1 to 119 matches the Rfam family "5.8S ribosomal RNA", at positions 35 to 154 of the family's 154-position model. The record is from RNAcentral.